This 344-nucleotide ribosomal RNA is filed under the name uncultured bacterium. RNAcentral's name for it is "bacterial SSU rRNA". It matches the Rfam family "Bacterial small subunit ribosomal RNA", at positions 30 to 355 of the family's 1533-position model. The record is from RNAcentral.
AGUGAACGCUGGCGGCAGGCCUAACACAUGCAAGUCGAGCGGCAGCGGGUCCCCGCGAGGGGAUGCCGGCGAGCGGCGGACGGGUGAGGAACACAUCGGAAUCUGCCUGGUUGUGGGGGAUAACGUAGGGAAACUUACGCUAAUACCGCAUGAGACCCUGAGUCGACGGACUGGGGUGAAAGUGAGGGACCUUCGGGCCUCACGCGACCAGAUGAGCCGACUGUCGGAUUAGCUAGUUGGCGGGGUAACGGCCCGCCAACGGCGACGAUCCGUAGCUGGUCUGAGAGGAUGAUCAGCCACACUGGGACUGAGACACGGCCCAGACUCCUACGGGAGGCAGCAGU